AAAUACUACCCAGUGACCGAUAGCGUAUAGUACUGUGAAGGAAAGGUGAAAAGGACCCCGGGAGGGGAGUGAAAUAGAACCUGAAACCUUGUGCCUACAAGCACAUAGAGCACAUCAACGUGUGAUAUGGUACUUUUUGUAGAACGGUCCGGCGAGCGAUUGUAUGUUGCGAGCUUAAGGUCUUAAGGACUGGAGGCGUAGCGAGAGCGAGUCUGAACAGGGCGUUCAGUAACAUGCAAUGGGCCCGAAACCGGGUGACCUACCCAUGAUCAGGCUGAAGUGAAAGUAAAAUUUCAUGGAGGGCCGAACCGACCUCCGUUGAAAAGGCGGCGGAUGAAUUGUGGGUAGCGGAGAAAUUCCAAUCGAACUCGGAGAUAGCUGGUUCUCCCCGAAAUAGCUUUAGGGCUAGCCUCAUAUUAGAUACCCGGAGGUAAAGCACUGAAUGGCCUAGCGCCCGAGAGGGUAGCGAAGCCUAUCAAACUAAGAAUGCCGGAGUAUUGAUGUAUGGGAGUCAGACAGUGUGAGAUAAAUCUCAUUGUCAAAAGGGAAACAGCCCAGAUCUACAGCUAAGGUCCCAAAUUGUAUCUAAGUGGAAAACGAUGUGGAAAUACGCAGACAACCAGGAUGUUGGCUCAGAAGCAGCCACUCAUUUAAAGAGUGCGUAAUAGCUCACUGGUCGAGCGUCUCUGCGCGGAAAAUUUAACGGGGCUAAGAUACAAACCGAAGCUUAGGCUGCAUCGUAAGAUGCGGGGUAGGGGAGCGUUGUGUAAGCGGAGAAACAGUAGCGUAAGCGGCUGUGGAGUUUACAGAAGUGAGAAUGCCGGAAUGAGUAGCGCGAAUGUGGUGAGAAUCCACAUGGCCGGAAACCUCAGGUUUUUGGAGGAAGGUUCGUCCGCUCCAAGUUAGGCGGGAGCUAAGGUCAGGCCGAAAGGCGUAGCCGAUGCACAGACGGUAGAGAUUCCGUCCCCACCGAAAGAUUUAAGCACAGGGACACUUUUUGAAGGUCGGAGCCAGGUGUUGGUUCUGGUAGUGAUCGAGGGAAAUAUAGUACCGAAGUCCGGCUGGAAGAGAGGCGAGAAAAGCUGUGUGUAUAUCUAAGGUGCCCGUACCGCAAACCGACACAGGUAGGUAGGAAGAAGAUUCUAAGGCCAACGGGAGAAGGGUUGUUAAGGAACUCGGCAAAUUGACCCCGUAACUUCGGGAGAAGGGGUGCUCCAGAGAUGGAGCCGCAGAGAAUCGGCCCAAGCAACUGUUUACCAAAAACACAGGUUUGUGCUAAAUCGAAAGAUGACGUAUACGAGCUGACGCCUGCCCGGUGCUGGAAGGUUAAAAGGAGAUGUGCAAGCAUUGAAUUGAAGCCCCAGUGAACGGCGGCCGUAACUAUAACGGUCCUAAGGUAGCGAAAUUCCUUGUCAGGUAAGUUCUGACCCGCAUGAAAGGCGUAAUGAUCUGGGCACUGUCUCAACAGCCCGCCCGGCGAAAUUGUAGUACCGGUGAAGAUGCCGGUUACCCGCGACAAGACGGAAAGACCCCAUGGAGCUUUACUGUAGCCUGAUAUUGGGUUUCGGUGUUGCAUGCACAGGAUAGAUGGGACGCUGGGAAAGAAGCGCUUUGGCGUUUCUGGAGCGGACGUUGGGAUACCAUCCUUGCGACAUUGGAAUUCUAACCUGCGCCUCUGAAUCGAGGCGGGGGACAUUGUCAGGUGGGCAGUUUGACUGGGGCGGUCGCCUCCUAAAAAGUAGCGGAGGCGUUCAAAGGUUCGUUCGAUCUGGACGGAAACCAGAUGAUUGAGUGCAAACGCAUAAACGAGCCUGACUGCGAGACUGACGGGUCGAGCAGAGACGAAAGUCGGAGUUAGUGAUCCGGUGGUAUGUGAGUGGAAAUGCCAUCGCUCAACGGAUAAAAGUUACCCUGGGGAUAACAGGCUGAUCUCCCCCAAGAGUCCACAUCGACGGGGA
This 1958-nucleotide ribosomal RNA is filed under the name human gut metagenome. Its description in RNAcentral is "bacterial LSU rRNA". It matches the Rfam family "Bacterial large subunit ribosomal RNA", at positions 468 to 2514 of the family's 2925-position model. The record is from RNAcentral.